This 482-nucleotide ribosomal RNA is filed under the name uncultured bacterium. RNAcentral's name for it is "partial 16S ribosomal RNA". It matches the Rfam family "Bacterial small subunit ribosomal RNA", at positions 28 to 523 of the family's 1533-position model. The record is from RNAcentral.
GACGAACGCUGGCGGCGUGCUUAACACAUGCAAGUCGAACGAUGAAGCCCAGCUUGCUGGGUGGAUUAGUGGCGAACGGGUGAGUAACACGUGGGCAACCUGCCCCAAACUCUGGGAUAACUCCUCGAAAGAGGUGCUAAUACCGGAUACGAACUAGACAGACAUCUGUACUAGUUGGAAAGUUUUUCGGUUUGGGAUGGGCCCGCGGCCUAUCAGCUUGUUGGUGAGGUAACGGCUCACCAAGGCUACGACGGGUAACCGGCCUGAGAGGGGGACCGGUCACACUGGGACUGGGACACGGCCCAGACUCCUACGGGAGGCAGCAGUGGGGAAUAUUGCGCAAUGGGCGAAAGCCUGACGCAGCGACGCCGCGUGAGGGAUGAAGGUCUUCGGAUCGUAAACCUCUUUCAGUAGGGACGAAGCGAAAGUGACGGUACCUAAAGAAGAAGCACCGGCUAACUACGUGCCAGCCGCCGCCGUAA